AUUGAACGCUGGCGGCAUGCUUUACACAUGCAAGUCGAACGGUAACAGGCCUUCGGGUGCUGACGAGUGGCGAACGGGUGAGUAAUGCAUCGGAACGUGCCCAGAGGUGGGGGAUAACGCAGCGAAAGCUGUGCUAAUACCGCAUGUGAUCUGAGGAUGAAAGCGGGGGACCAGGCAGCAAUGUUUGGCCUCGCGCCUUUGGAGCGGCCGAUGUCAGAUUAGGUAGUUGGUGGGGUAAAGGCCUACCAAGCCGACGAUCUGUAGCUGGUCUGAGAGGACGACCAGCCACACUGGGACUGAGACACGGCCCAGACUCCUACGGGAGGCAGCAGUGGGGAAUUUUGGACAAUGGGCGCAAGCCCGAUCCAGCAAUGCCGCGUGCGGGAAGAAGGCCUUCGGGUUGUAAACCGCUUUUGUACGGAACGAAAAGGCUCUGGCUAAUACCUGGGGCUGAUGACGGUACCGUAAGAAUAAGCACCGGCUAACUACGUG
This 492-nucleotide ribosomal RNA is filed under the name uncultured bacterium. RNAcentral's name for it is "partial 16S ribosomal RNA". It matches the Rfam family "Bacterial small subunit ribosomal RNA", at positions 30 to 507 of the family's 1533-position model. The record is from RNAcentral.